The sequence is a ribosomal RNA, 501 nucleotides long. It matches the Rfam family "Bacterial small subunit ribosomal RNA", at positions 115 to 629 of the family's 1533-position model.
ACGUGGGCAAUCUGCCCUGCACUCUGGGACAAGCCCUGGAAACGGGGUCUAAUACCGGAUACUGACCCGCUUGGGCAUCCAAGCGGUUCGAAAGCUCCGGCGGUGCAGGAUGAGCCCGCGGCCUAUCAGCUUGUUGGUGAGGUAAUGGCUCACCAAGGCGACGACGGGUAGCCGGCCUGAGAGGGCGACCGGCCACACUGGGACUGAGACACGGCCCAGACUCCUACGGGAGGCAGCAGUGGGGAAUAUUGCACAAUGGGCGAAAGCCUGAUGCAGCGACGCCGCGUGAGGGAUGACGGCCUUCGGGUUGUAAACCUCUUUCAGCAGGGAAGAAGCGAAAGUGACGGUACCUGCAGAAGAAGCGCCGGCUAACUACGUGCCAGCAGCCGCGGUAAUACGUAGGGCGCGAGCGUUGUCCGGAAUUAUUGGGCGUAAAGAGCUCGUAGGCGGCUUGUCACGUCGGUUGUGAAAGCCCGGGGCUUAACCCCGGGUCUGCAGUCG